RNAcentral lists this unclassified non-coding RNA (305 nucleotides) under uncultured fungus. Its description in RNAcentral is "partial contains small subunit ribosomal RNA, internal transcribed spacer 1, and 5.8S ribosomal RNA". The stretch from base 1 to 73 matches the Rfam family "Eukaryotic small subunit ribosomal RNA", at positions 1759 to 1831 of the family's 1831-position model. The record is from RNAcentral. Lineage: Eukaryota; Fungi.
UCAAACUUGGUCAUUUAGAGGAAGUAAAAGUCGUAACAAGGUUUCCGUAGGUGAACCUGCGGAAGGAUCAUUAUCGAAGCCUCCCCUCGCGGGGGGCGCUCACCACACGGUCCCUCGCUGUGCGCCUUCGGGCUGCACGCCUGGAACCGUCACGUGAUUCUCACACCUGUGCACUAUGCGGGCGCCCUCUCGGGGGCGUUCGUCUUCACACACCCUUAUAUGUAUGUCUUGGAUGUCUUAUUUGUUAAUGAAAUACAACUUUCGACAACGGAUCUCUUGGCUCUCGCAUCGAUGAAGAACGCAGC